AGGUGCGAUCAUACCAGCACUAAUGCACAGGAUCCCAUCAGAAAUCCGCAGUUAAGCGUGCUUGUGCGAGAGUAGUACUAGGAUG
Molecule: ribosomal RNA, 85 nt
Filed under: Vigna angularis (adzuki bean)
Lineage: Eukaryota; Viridiplantae; Streptophyta; Magnoliopsida; Fabales; Fabaceae
Source: RNAcentral